This is a long non-coding RNA of Gossypium arboreum, 315 nucleotides long. RefSeq lists it as uncharacterized. The transcript is spliced from 2 exons. The record is from RefSeq and is a predicted model, not a curated record. NCBI's taxonomy places the organism in Eukaryota, Viridiplantae, Streptophyta, Magnoliopsida, Malvales, Malvaceae.
GUAGUUUGUAUUUGAAUAGUUAGAUUAACGUGUUAGUAAUCCAAUUGUAGGCGGUUCGUGUGUGGAUCUCGUCAGCAUAUCAUCGCAAACAGGAAAUCCCCAACCAUAGUGGGCUUGGAGUUGUGAGGGAAUUCGGAGUGGCCACCCGUUCUGAAAGUUUGGUUUUCUUUUGGUGAACUGGACAUCCUUUUAUUUACGUUUGAAGUUUUGGGUUUUUUAAAUGUAAUAAGGCUGCUUAAUUAUUUUUGAUGGUUUUAAUAUGUAUUACUAAGAUAGGUAUUACUUAUUUUAACUGUUGCAAUUGCAUAGCUUUAA